GUAUGGGUGCCAGAUGUUUAAUGGGUUAGUUUUAAGCGCUGAAUAUGAGUAAUUUUGCUCCCCGUAUA
Molecule: transfer RNA, 68 nt
Filed under: Hysteromorpha triloba
Lineage: Eukaryota; Metazoa; Platyhelminthes; Trematoda; Diplostomida; Diplostomidae
Description: tRNA-Leu
Source: RNAcentral